CUGGCUUACAGGCCAUUCCCAGCAAUGCAGAGAGAAAAUAAUGGAAUAUUUUUAACAUGAGGAAUAAAUACACAAUGACUAAUGAUACAGUAACUUGGUUAUCUGCACAGGGUACCAGUACAAGGUCAAUGUAUGAUGUAAUUGAGGUAGAUAUAGUACCUUCUGAAAGUAUUAAAGCCUGAAUUCAAAAUGGAUGAAAUGAGGAAAUACAAAUCACCCAUCUACAAACAAUACCCCAUAAUGACAAAGUGAAAACAUGUAUUUGUAGUGACUGUAUUGAUACACCAUCCAAAGUGUAAUUAAUAAUUUCACCAUUGUCGUGCCGGAUGAAGUGAUAUGACAUGCUAUUCUAUAAAAUAAUUUUGCCGUAAUUAAUAUUACCUGAUUGAGCUAAUCAUGUAAAUGUUAUUAACUAGAGAGUCGGGCACCACAAAAUAAUAUUUAUAGAGCUGUUAUAUUCCGAAUAAACUCUUAAAGACCUAGUAAUAUUUUACAUCAAUAGCAGUCAAUAUUAAUUGUCAUCUUAAUUCAGUCUCAUCUGAAAGUUGUAAAUUCUUGGUUAUCUGCACGAACCCUGGCUAACAAGUUGAAUCAGCAAUACAAAAUUGGGUUUAAUUAUUUAUUUACUAAAUACCUGACUAAUCACACAGAAUUACACAUACACAUAUUUAAAUCAUAACUUGAUUACAAAUGACGUCAUAAAGGAAAACAGAUAUGACAGCUGGUUACACAAAAAAAAACAGUGACAAUCAAUCUCAAAUGAAUCCGUUUUAAAUUCAGCCUGUAAAACAACAAAAUGUGGAAAAGUAAAGUGGUGUGAAUACUUUCUGAAGGCCCUGUACGGACAUAUCGGUAGGUAUAAAGUGGUGUGAAUACUUUCUGAAGGCCCUGUACGGACAUAUCGGUAGGUAUAAAGUGGUGUGAAUACUUUCUGAAGGCCCUGUACGGACAUAUCGGUAGGUAUAAAGUGGUGUGAAUACUUUCUGAAGGCCCUGUACGGACAUAUCGGUA
Long non-coding RNA from Oncorhynchus tshawytscha (Chinook salmon), 1011 nucleotides. The record is from Ensembl. Lineage: Eukaryota; Metazoa; Chordata; Actinopteri; Salmoniformes; Salmonidae.